Gasterosteus aculeatus aculeatus (three-spined stickleback) is the source of this 1563-nucleotide long non-coding RNA. Lineage: Eukaryota; Metazoa; Chordata; Actinopteri; Perciformes; Gasterosteidae. The record is from Ensembl.
GCCACCAGCUGCUCUCUGUCCAUUGGCCAACCAAAGGGAUUCACACCCUACAAGCAAAGGAUUCACACUUUAAACUAGUAAAGUGCACUCAGUAGAGUGCCGAUCCAUAGCUGUUGAGUCGCCCUCUCCCAAACAAAGAAGCGUUGAAUCUCACUCAUUUGUUAUCUGGUAAAUCACCUGUGGUCCCUGUCACGGUUGGGAUUCCAUGUUCCACUGAUACGUAUGAACAUACAAACAGGUAAUGGAUUCCAUGUAUGUGUGAAUAUCACAGUUUUUUGUCAGAAGUGCUUUCAGUGCACAAAGGGUUAUCCUACUACUUGUGGUGAGUCACCCGAUGCCAGCAAUCCGGCACCAUGGAAACCGGCCACACCCCAAUCGCGGGUUGAGCGCCGGCAGCUGGUGCCACUUAACCAAACCACAUUUAAGCGGCAGGCUCACACAAAAAGGGGAAACUGUCUCUCGCGUGAGUGGUGGGGGCUUGUUCUAACAAAUCUUGAGUUCUCUUCAGACACCAGCGCCUGACGCUCAGCCCGCACAACCCGGAAGCCUGAGAUCGUCAUAGGACCCGCUGCACACCCGAAGAUUGAGCACAAGAGGAGCACUACCUUUCACCUGCACGUUUUGGACACCUUUUUCCUUCUUACAUGGAAUAAUUGGGUGCAUUUGUCAUGCUGGAAUUGAAACACCAAGGCCAAUCGUUCCUCACUGAACACAAAUCCAUUCUCCCUACACGCUGCAAGAGUGACAUAUCCUCAGGUACCCGCCCAUCUCUCUCCCUCCCUCUGUGUCUGUCCAUUUCUCCUCCAACAUUAUCCCAUUGGCUGUAUCCCUCUGACCAGUAAUUUAUAACACCCCCCACAGUAGACUCCCAUUGCAGGAAUGUACCAAGGGCUCUUAAGACGUUAUUGAUUUUUAUUUGAUUAAAUGUCUCGCUGGUUUUCAGCAAAUUAGCAAGAGUUUGAUCAAAUCACAAUCAAUAUCUACUUAAUAAUCUCCCAACACACACCUCAUGCAAACUAAGGUAAAACACAAGUGAAUAGUGGGGAUGAAAUAAUGAGACUGAGGAUAAAAUGUGCUUGUACUAUGUUAAAUAGCAGAUUUGUGAGUGGUUACAUUUAUGUGAGUGAGUCCUUUUGUUGUUUGUUGUUGUUCAUACUAGAUCAUUUAUGUCAUACUUUUGUCACGGUGUGGUUUUAUUUCCUGCCUUAUUUUGUAGUUUCUGCUUCUUGUCUCCCUGGGUAACUUCACUUCCUGCCUUGUCCUGUCAUCCCCUUUGACUGUCUGAUUGUUUCCACCUGUGUCCAAUCACCUGCACCUCCCUAGUGUAUUUAAGCUGUGUGUGUGUCUCCUGUCAUUUGUCGCGUCAUUGUCUGGUCUUGGAUGUUCGUAAUUACUGCCUGCCGUUUUUCCCCUGGUUCCUGUGUGCGUUUUUGCCCGUCGGCCUUUUGCGUUUUCUUUUUGACUAUUAAAGUCUCUUUUGUUUAAGAACUCUGCAUUUGAGUCCUGCCUUCCCACGCAUCCCUGACAAUGUUGGUCAGCCAAGUUAUACGGUGGAUCAUUUAA